Molecule: unclassified non-coding RNA, 2796 nt
Filed under: Hevea brasiliensis (rubber tree)
Lineage: Eukaryota; Viridiplantae; Streptophyta; Magnoliopsida; Malpighiales; Euphorbiaceae
Source: RNAcentral
AUCCUGUGGUACCUGCUUUCCCAGAUCUUCACCUGUCUCCUGCUGCGAUUUUAAAAGAGUUAUCGACAUACUUCCCUAAAUUUUCUGCACAAACUCGGCUUCUCACUCUUCCAGCACCUCAUGAGCUGCCACUGCGUGAGGCACAAGAUUAUCAGAGGCAAUAUCUGAUUGUCAACCAUAUUGGGGCGAUCCGUGCUGAGCAUGAUGACUUCACUGUUCGUUUUGCUUCAGCCAUGAGUCAGCUUGUCUUGCUAAAAUCAAUUGACGGUGUGGAUGUAGAGUGGGUUAAGGAAGUCAAAGGAAAUACUUAUGACAUGGUUGUUGAAGGUUUUCAACUCUUAAGCAGAUGGACUGCACGAGUUUGGGAACAGUGUGCUUGGAAGUUUUCUCGCCCGUGCAAGGAUCCUGUUCCAAUGGAGUCACAUGACAUGCCUGCAUCAUUUUCCGACUAUGAAAAGGUGGUACGGUACAAUUAUAAUGCUGAAGAAAGGAAGGCUCUGGUUGAACUUGUAAGCUAUAUCAAGAGUAUUGGGUCAAUGAUGCAAAAGGUGGACACUUCAGUGACCGAUGCCUUGUGGGAGACAAUCCAUGCAGAGGUGCAAGAUUUUGUUCAGAAUACGCUUGCGACAAUGUUGCGGACUACCUUCCGGAAAAAGAAAGACCUUUCUAGGAUUCUUUCUGAUAUGAGAACACUUUCAGCAGAUUGGAUGGCAAAUGCUAGUAAGCCAGAGACUGAAAUGCAGUCAUAUCCGCAUAGUGGUGAAGAAAGCAGAGGGACCCUAUUUUAUCCAAGGCCAGUAGCACCAACAUCUGCUCAGGUCCAUUGCUUGCAGUUCCUCAUAUAUGAAGUGGUUUCCGGUGGCAACAUGCGGAAGCCUGGUGGUAUUUUUGGAAAUAGUGGUUCUGAAAUACCUAUCAAUGACUUGAAACAGCUGGAGACAUUCUUCUACAAGCUUGGUUUUUUCUUACAUGUAUUAGACUACACAGCUACCCUAGGAACUUUGACCGAUCUUGGUUUCUUAUGGUUUAGAGAAUUCUAUCUGGAGUCUUCUCGUGUUAUACAGUUCCCCAUUGAAUGCUCCCUUCCAUGGAUGCUGGUGGAUCAUGUGAUCGAAUCUCCAAUUAUUGGCCUUCUGGAGAGUGCCUUGAUGUCAUUUGACAUCUAUAAUGAUGCUGCUCAGCAAGCAUUAGUGAUCCUCAAGCAACGUUUUUUAUACGAUGAAAUCGAAGCUGAGGUAGACAAUUGUUUUGAUAUAUUUGUCUUGAAGUUGUGUGAGACUAUUUUUACUUACUACAAAAGUUGGGCAGCCAGUGAGCUACUUGAUCCAUCAUUUCUCUUUGCCAUAGACAUUGGGGAAAAGUUUGCAGUCCAGCCAAUGAGAUUCGUAGCUCUUUUAAAAACGACUAGAGUGAAGCUUCUAGGUCGGACCAUCAACUUGAGAAGUUUGAUUGCUGAUAGGAUGAACAAAAUGUUCAGGGAUAAUCUUGAAUUUCUGUUUGAUCGCUUUGAAUCACAGGAUUUAUGUGCUAUUGUGGAGCUGGAAAUGUUGCUGGACAUCUUGCAACUUACUCAUGAAUUACUCUCGAAAGACCUUACAAUAGAUUCUUUCAAUCUUAUGUUGAACGAGAUGCAGGAGAAUGUAUCCCUUGUUUCUUAUUCUAGUCGUCUUGCUUCGCAGAUUUGGACAGAAAUGCAAAAUGACUUCUUGCCAAAUUUCAUCCUCUGCAAUACUACUCAGCGUUUUGUCCGAUCAGCACGAGUGCCCCCUGUUCCUGUCCAGAAGCCUUCGGUUCCUUAUGCGAAGCCAAAUUUCUACUGUGGAACUCCUGAUCUGAAUUCUGCUUACCAGAGCUUUGCUCGAUUGUAUUGUGGGUUUUUUGGUGUGCCUCACAUGUUUUCUCUAGUCAAGCUCUUGGGAUCUAGGUCACUUCCUUGGCUUAUCCGAGCCCUUUUGGAUAAUAUAUCGAACAAGAUUACUACCGUUGAACCGAUGAUUACUGGACUGCAAGAAGCUUUGCCGAAGUCUAUAGGGUUACUUCCAUUUGAUGGUGGUAUAUCAGGGUGCAUGAGGCUUGCCAAGGAGCAUCUUAGCUGCUGGCAUUCAAAGUCUGAACUCAAAGCUGAAGUCCUUUGUGGAAUCAAGGAGAUUGGUAGCAUAUUGUACUGGAUGGGACUUCUUGAUAUUGUAUUGAGAGAAGUCGAUACCCGCCAGUUUAUGCAAACUGCUCCUUGGUUGGGAUUGAUUCCUGGUGCUGAUGGGCAAAUAUUGCACUCUCAAGAAGGAGGAGAUAGCCCUAUGGUCACUCUGUUUAAAUCUGCAACUACUGCAACCAUGUCCAACCCUAACUGCACAAAUCCAACAUCAUUUCACACAAUAUCGAGACAAGCAGAAGCUGCCGAUUUGUUGUACAAAGCCAAUAUUAAUACUGGAAGUGUGUUGGAAUAUGCCCUUGCUUUUACAAGUGCUGCAUUAGAUAAAUACUGCAGUAAAUGGAGUGCAGCCCCAAAGACGGGUUUUAUUGAUAUUACUACUUCAAAGGACUUCUACCGGAUUUUCAGUGGACUUCAAAUCGAAUACCUGGAGGAAUCUAUUCAGCUACAAUCAAACACUUACGAAAUGUUGGGCGAUUCAGUUGCCUGGGGUGGAUGUACAAUAAUCUACCUGCUUGGGCAACAAUUGCAUUUUGAAUUGUUUGAUUUUUCCCAUCAAGUCCUCAAUGUUGCUGAGGUGGAGUCUGUAGCAAUAUCGCCAACACAGAAGAAUCCUAAUUUCCUCCAGGGUAUUGAAGGUUUGC